UUCUAUAUUCCAAACUAUCCUUCAUAAGCAACAUGUAUGACUUAAGAGUUUUCCUUAAGGUUGGUAAACCAAUCAUGUAAGCAAGUAAGCAAUUCUAGACUUGGGUAGUUUCUAGGAUUUGAACAAGUGGCAAAGAUGUCCUUAAAUCAAGGCAUGAUCAUACACAAGAAUAGGUUUCAUCCAACUCCUAGACUUAGUGCAUGCAAUAAACAAAUAACCUAUAACUAGUCACAUGAAAUAAC
RNAcentral lists this long non-coding RNA (242 nucleotides) under Setaria italica (foxtail millet). RNAcentral describes it as "long non-coding RNA (SITA_LNC004930)". Lineage: Eukaryota; Viridiplantae; Streptophyta; Magnoliopsida; Poales; Poaceae. The record is from RNAcentral.